GGAGGAUUGGCCGAGUGGCAAGGCACCGGCUUGCGCUGUGUUCACUCCAGAGCAAGUCGUGGUCGGGUUAACGCCCGCGCACGUUCGAUCCGUGCAUCCUCCG
RNAcentral lists this transfer RNA (103 nucleotides) under Streptomyces sp. S.PB5. RNAcentral's name for it is "tRNA-OTHER". It matches the Rfam family "tRNA". From Rfam's summary of the family: Transfer RNA (tRNA) molecules are approximately 80 nucleotides in length. The record is from RNAcentral. Lineage: Bacteria; Bacillati; Actinomycetota; Actinomycetes; Kitasatosporales; Streptomycetaceae.